Molecule: ribosomal RNA, 550 nt
Filed under: uncultured bacterium
Lineage: Bacteria
Description: bacterial SSU rRNA
Rfam family: Bacterial small subunit ribosomal RNA
Source: RNAcentral
AGAGGAAGGUCCCCCACACUGGUACUGAGACACGGACCAGACUCCUACGGGAGGCAGCAGUGAGGAAUAUUGGUCAAUGGCCGCAGGGCUGAACCAGCCAAGUCGCGUGAGGGAUGACGGUCCUAUGGAUUGUAAACCUCUUUUGUCAGGGAGCAAAGGACGCCACGUGUGGCGUUUUGCGAGUACCUGAAGAAAAAGCAUCGGCUAACUCCGUGCCAGCAGCCGCGGUAAUACGGAAGAUGCGAGCGUUAUCCGGAUUUAUUGGGUUUAAAGGGUGCGCAGGCGGAAUGUCAAGUCAGCGGUAAAAUUUCGGGGCUCAACCCCGUCGUGCCGUUGAAACUGGCGUUCUUGAGUGAGCGAGAAGUAUGCGGAAUGCGUGGUGUAGCGGUGAAAUGCAUAGAUAUCACGCAGAACUCCGAUUGCGAAGGCAGCAUACCGGCGCUCAACUGACGCUCAUGCACGAAAGCGUGGGUAUCGAACAGGAUUAGAUACCCUGGUAGUCCACGCAGUAAACGAUGAAUACUAACUGUCCGGGCCGAUUGAGGUCUGG